RNAcentral lists this unclassified non-coding RNA (325 nucleotides) under uncultured Agaricomycetes. Its description in RNAcentral is "sequence contains ITS2". The record is from RNAcentral. Lineage: Eukaryota; Fungi; Basidiomycota; Agaricomycetes.
ACCAAUCUAAUCAGUCUCUUGAUGCUACAUCGGAAAGGGAUUGGAGUUGAGUGUUUUACCUUGUCUGCCCGCAUCUGUCUUGGGUUUGACAAGGUUCACUUGAAAUGCAGGGGAGACAAGGAUAUCUGUGGCAUGGAGACUUGUUCCAUCUAACAAUGAUUUGAUGAAAAGAGAUAAUUUGAUUUGUCUCAUCUCAAAAAAUCUUGUUUAGGAACGUCUUGACGCGCUUUGUGAGUAGGGCUCUGCCCUGCUAGAAUCAGCAACAUGCCCUCUUGCUCUUGUUUCCACAACUAGGGAAGAAAGAAAGAGUUUUGUACCUCUGAAU